CCUACGGGUGGCAGCAGUAGGGAAUCUUCCACAAUGGGCGAAAGCCUGAUGGAGCAACGCCGCGUGGGUGAAGAAGGUCUUCGGAUCGUAAAACCCUGUUGUUAGAGAAGAAAGUGCGUGAGAGUAACUGUUCACGUUUCGACGGUAUCUAACCAGACAGCCACGGCGAACUACGUGCCAGCAGCCGCGGUAAUACGGAGGGGGCAAGCGUUAUCCGGAUUUUUUGGGCGGAACGGGAACGCAGGCGGUCUUUUAAGUCUGAUGUGAAAGGCGUCGGCUUAACCGGGGUAGUGCAUUGGAAGCUGGGAGACUUGAGUGCAGAAGAGGAGAGUGGAACUCCAUGUGUAGCGGUGAAAUGCGUAGAUAUAUGGAAGAACACCAGUGGCGAAAGCGGCUCUCUGGUGUGUAACUGACGCUGAGGUUCGAAAGCGUGGGUAGCAAACAGGAUUAGAUACCCUUGUAGUC
RNAcentral lists this ribosomal RNA (465 nucleotides) under uncultured bacterium. Its description in RNAcentral is "partial 16S ribosomal RNA". It matches the Rfam family "Bacterial small subunit ribosomal RNA", at positions 338 to 795 of the family's 1533-position model. The record is from RNAcentral.